GAUGAACGCUGGCGGCGUGCCUAAUACAUGCAAGUCGAGCGAACAGACGAGGAGCUUGCUCCUCUGACGUUAGCGGCGGACGGGUGAGUAACACGUGGAUAACCUACCUAUAAGACUGGGAUAACUUCGGGAAGCCGGAGCUAAUACCGGAUAAUAUAUUGAACCGCAUGGUUCAAUAGUGAAAGACGGUUUUGCUGUCACUUAUAGAUGGAUCCGCGCCGCAUUAGCUAGUUGGUAAGGUAACGGCUUACCAAGGCGACGAUGCGUAGCCGACCUGAGAGGGUGAUCGGCCACACUGGAACUGAGACACGGUCCAGACUCCUACGGGAGGCAGCAGUAGGGAAUCUUCCGCAAUGGGCGAAAGCCUGACGGAGCAACGCCGCGUGAGUGGUGAAGGUCUUCGGAUCGUAAAACUCUGUUAUUAGGGAAGAACAAAUGUGUAAGUAACUAUGCACGUCUUGACGGUACCUAAUCAGAAAGCCACGGCUAACUACGUG
Molecule: ribosomal RNA, 497 nt
Filed under: uncultured bacterium
Lineage: Bacteria
Description: partial 16S ribosomal RNA
Rfam family: Bacterial small subunit ribosomal RNA
Source: RNAcentral